This 440-nucleotide ribosomal RNA is filed under the name uncultured bacterium. Its description in RNAcentral is "partial 16S ribosomal RNA". It matches the Rfam family "Bacterial small subunit ribosomal RNA", at positions 338 to 795 of the family's 1533-position model. The record is from RNAcentral.
CCUACGGGAGGCAGCAGUGGGGAAUAUUGCACAAUGGGGGAAACCCUGAUGCAGCGACGCCGCGUGAGUGAAGUAGUAAUUCGUUAUGUAAAGCUCUAUCAGCAGGGAAGAAAAUGACGGUACCUGAGUAAGAAGCCCCGGCUAACUACGUGCCAGCAGCCGCGGUAAGACGUAGGGGGCAAGCGUUAUCCGGAUUUACUGGGUGUAAAGGGAGCGUAGACGGCAGUGCAAGUCUGGAGUGAAAGGCGGGGGCUCAACCCCCGGACUGCUGUGGAAACUGGACGGCUGGAGUGCAGUAGAGGUAAGGGGAAUUCGUGGUGUAGCGGUGAAAUGCGUAGAUAUUAGGAGGAACACCAGUGGCGAAGGCGGCUUACUGGACUGUAACUGACGUUGAGGCUCGAAAGCGUGGGGAGCAAACAGGAUGAGAUACCCCAGUAGUC